Molecule: long non-coding RNA, 5323 nt
Organism: Alexandromys fortis (reed vole)
Lineage: Eukaryota; Metazoa; Chordata; Mammalia; Rodentia; Cricetidae
Exons: 4
Source: RefSeq, a predicted model, not a curated record
UGGAAGAUGGUUUGACAAAAUAUUGACUAUGAUCAAUGUUUCUUAUACUAAACAAUAGAUUCAUUGAUAAUUUUAAGAUUGAUUCCUGGACAAUUGCCUUUGCUUGAUUCAAAGGCCAAAAACAAUAAUCUUUUCCCAGAUCAUUGCUAGAAUUCACACAACUGUAUUUUGCUAAAGUUAUAGCAAAAAAUCCCUUAAAGGACUUUAUGCUAAAUUUUACAAAUGGCUCUUCCAAUGUAAGAACUGCAUAUAUAGCUAAUAAAAAAAUUAUGGAGCAUAACAAGGCUCCUUAAACUCAUAGAAAGUUGCCAACAGAUCCUGAUGCAAAUGGAUCUGGCAUGAUAACACCAAGCUGACCUUUGCUAGGGCAAGGUGGAAAAGCCCUUGCAAUGCAUUAUGAAAAAACCCGACCUAUGUAUAUUUGGGGUCAAGGAUAUGUUUAUGUUUUUUUUUUUCACAGAAAGAAAAUAAAAGCUGGAGCUGAUGUCGAGGCUGCAGAUGCCCCACAAAGGAGUUCCAGAGGUGACUGGGGAGAGGUCCUUGGUCUGGCCUUUCCUGUCCCCAAGGAGAAAAGUGCCAGGAUGUACUUCAGAUAGCUGAAUCCAGCUCACCUCACUCAGGAAUCCCACCUGCCCUGAAGCACAAAUGCUAAACUGCCUCUGCAGUUUGAACUCUGUUUGCUUUGGAGCUAAGAAAAAGAAAAAAGAUGUGGAAGACAUUGAAAACUCUACCACCUCGUCUGACAAGAUUUCUCAACUUAUUUAAUAAUCAAGAUAAGAGGACCCUUCACCUACCAAGCACGCCCUUUUGUCUGCCAGGUCCUAGGUCAGCAAGAGGCCCUGCUCCUGUACCAGGAGAACCAUCCAGAAGGGUAAGUGUGUGUCCACCUGGCUAACCGGACACUCUGGGAAUGGAGUACAGAACCCCUCCAAUUCCCUAAACAUUCCUGGCCAUUCAGCAAGGCUUCUUCCUGGCUACUGGCUUUCUCUAUUUACCCCAUCCUAUUUUGCCACCAAACACUCCUGUUCAUCUGCAGGGUCCUUAGUUUCACCACCACAACCUACUUCAGGGUGAAGGGGAACUGAGAGUCAACUCCAGUGCUGAGGGGACCUAAAGAAGGCAGACCAAGAAAAACCCCCAAUACACAGCCACAGAGAAGAUUGGAACAAGACGCCAAGACUCUCCUGACCGUAUUUGAAGGAAGAAAUGGGCAGGUACCAAUUAAAGGAUUCCUCCAACAACCCGAAAAGCAACAUAACACCAGAAUCCAGCGAACAUGCAACAGGAAGACUUAAACACCCUAAUCCAGAAGAAGUAGAAGAAAUAGACUUUAAACAUAAAAUUAUGACAGUGAUAGAGACCCUUAAACAGGACGUGAAAAACUCCGUUAAAGAAAUGGAUGAGAAGACUAACAAAAAGUUAGAAGAAAUAAAUAAAUCCCUCAAAGAUACCCAAGAAAACACAGAAAAAAACAAUCAAACAGGUAAUGGAAACAGUUCAAGACUUGAAAACUGAAAUGGAGGUAAUGAAGAAAACACAAACCGAAAGAUGGCUGAAUAUUGAAAAUCUGGGUAAAUGAACCGGAACUACAGAGACAAGUAUAACCAACAGAAUAUAAGAGAUAGAAGAAAGAAUCUCAGAUGCUGUAGAUACUAUAGAGGAAAUAAACUCAUUGAUCAAAGAAAACAGCAAAUCCAACAAAUCCUUAGCACAAAACAUCCAGGAAAUCUGUGACACCAUGAAAAGACCAAACCUAAGAAUAAUAGGAGUUGAAGAAGAAGAAUUUCAGCUCAAAGGCCCAGAAAAUAUAUUUAACAAAAUUAUAGAAGAAAACUUUCCCAACCUAAAGAAGGAUAUUCCUAUGAAGGUACAAGAAACGUACAGAACACCAAAUAGACUGGAUCAAAAAAAAAAAAUCCCCUCGCCAUUUAAUAAUCAAGACACAGAACAUACAGAAUAAAGAAAGAAUAUUAAGAGCUGCAAAGGAAAAAGGUCAAGUAACAUACAAAGGUAAACCUAUCAGACUUACACCUGACUUCUCAAUUGAAACCAUGAAAGUCAGAAGGUCUUGGAUAGAUGUGCUCCAGACACUAAGAGACUACUAUACCCAGCCAAGCUUUCUCUCACCAAUGAUGGAGAAAACAAGAUAUUACAGGACAAAAACAAAUUUAAACAAUACGUAACCACAAACCCAGCCUUACAGAAAGUACUAGAAAGAAAACUACAACCCAAGGAAGCCAUAGUAACACUCAUACAACACACAUAGUAACAUAGUAUCUGACAAUCCUCCACUAGCACAACUCAAAGAAGGAAAGCCCACAAACACUACCACCAAAAAAAAAAAAAAAAUGAAUACAAUAGCAGAGGAAGAUAUAGGAGAAAAGGAAACAUAAAAGACAGAAAUGACUAAAUUCAUAAUUUUAUAUAUGAAACUGUAAAAUAAAACAAAGGAAAUUUAGUAAUCCCAACAUCCAUGAAGAAAAGUUAGAGAAAAUUGACUUAAAUGAGAAAAAAGAUUUUCUUAUUGUCUUCUGAAGAUAAGAGCUUUCUGGAAUAAACAAAAUAAUUUAAUUGAAAUGUUUUCAUUUAAUCAAAUGAAGUCUCCCCACUAUUCUCUUUUUUUUUAGUAUGGAGUUAAAUACCAAUUAAUUGUCUUAGGUGAUGUUCAUGUUAAUCAUUGCUUACAAAUAUGUUAUAACUACUUGAGAAUAUAUUUCUUGAAAUCUUUUUGUCUCUGUAAUCUGACAGUUCUUUCUUGUUAGAAAAUACAUGUAGCCAUUUAAAUAGAUUUGAGGGAGUUAUGAUUAUGAAAACGAUAUAGGCCAGAGUGACUAUUUUAAGAAACAUAAAGCAAGAACAUCCAACUAUCUUGAACACUUCAUUUCAUUUAUUUACACCUCAUAGUUGAAUUAUUUGUGAAACUUACACUGUGAGAAAUAACCCUGGAAAUUGUUUUUAUGGAUAACUGUCAUGAUGUUUUGUCUAUUUUUAUUACAACUUAAAGUCUAGUCUGUGUCACCUUCAUUGUUACUAUUAUGAUGCAUAAGGUUAUACUACAGAUCCGUGGAUAUUAGAAAAGUGAAUUAUAGAGCAAGGAUCCACAAAACGUGUCAUUAAAGAACAAUCUGAGGCUUCAGAGUUGCUGCCCAGAAUAUGUUUAAACAGGAAAUUGUAAUGACGGGACAGAGUGGCAACACCUACUUUUCUGCCUUGGGCAUAGAAGGAAGCCUUAACAUAAUAAAAACAAGGCAUUUAAUGGUGUUAUUAUGGUGCAUUGUAAUGCAUAGACUUUAAAUAUUUUUUUGCAAUAAAUAGACACAUCUUUUUUUUGAACCCAGAAUUGGUAGUUUCCUAUCAUUACAUAAGGAGUGAUCAUAGUACACCAGAAAAAGUAUGAGAUCUUAUGAGUCACAACAAAGGAGAUAAGGCAGAGAGGAAAAUGAGGUCAUAUGUGUUCCUAAUAGGCCCCAGAGGGUAGCAAGGGGUUUAUUAAAUACAUGUAAAUAUACAAUGAAAGGAAAGUGAUAAGGGUUAUAUUGGAAACAUAUUCUAAUUUCAGUUUCUAGAAAAUGUUUAAAUACAAGAUGGAAUGAAGACUGGGAGAAUAGGAGAGAAGUUUCUGGUGAAGAAAACAUGUUGGAAACUUGAAGCACUAGAGACAGGGAACAUUCAAGGAGCCUAAAGGAAUUAAUGGUGAUGAAAGGAGACAGAGACAGAGACCCACAUUGGAGCACCGGACGGAAAUCUCAAGGUCCAAAUCAGGAGCAGAAGGAGAGAGAGCACGAGCAAGGAAUUCAGGACCGCGAGGGGUGCACCCACACACUGAGUCAAUGGGAUGUUCUAUCAAAUGGCUUUUAACAGCAAGAUAAAAUCCCCUUUCAAUAUAAAGACCACACAGAAUAUACUGCACAAUCUCUAAAGAAGAGUAUCAUGGAAAAUUGUAGAACUCAUUUCAAAUGAAAACGCACCAUUGAAGAAAUAAAACUGUCAUUUAUGGAGUGUAAAACUUGAUUAUAAAUGUGGUUUUUAAUCUUUCUCUUAAACAAAACUGAGAAUUCAUCAGGUCUCACAGAAAAAAGAUAUGAACAGAUUAAAGAAUAGCAGCUAACCAAGAAACUCAGGAUUUGAGGAAAGACACCUUGCCAAUUUUAUUAUUUCAUUUUAUUGUCUCAUUCAUUUUAGACUUGAAGCUGUAGAAUAUAGUUACCAAGAAAUAUCACUACAGACUCUUAAUGCAACCAUAGUACUAAAAGAUCACACUAAAACAACUUUUGCCAUAAGUUUGGCGAGUUUGAGAUGAUGACCCACUUCCUCAAGAACUACAAACAAUAAGAACUCAUACAACACAAAAGUUGAAUGUCUAAAUGACCAUGAAACUAUUGAAGAAUCUGAAUUCAUGAUUUCUCAAAACCCUAAAAAAAGUAGCUCUUUAACUUGACUAAGAGACUAACUAUACCCUUGUCAACAUCAGAUUUUUGAAAUCAUAUUAUAAAAUCAUAUAAAAUGCAGUCAUUGGAGAGAUGAGUGAACAGCACACAGGAUCAUUGAUUUCUUCUUUAAUAUUCAUAGAAAUCCACAAUACUUGAAAAAUAGAAUAUCCAAUUGAAUGCCAAGCAUGUUGUUCUAGAUUACAAUUCUAAAUAUAUAGCAUGAAUUUUAUGUCCUAUCUUUUAUUGUAUAGGUCAGUUUUAAAUACAAUUGUAACCAUAGUUUGUUCAAACAUAUCUAGUUUGGUUUUGUGUCUUAGUUUGCACAUGGACAUCUGCUUCACAUUUACUAGAGUAGGUAAAAUAUAGUAAGCUUUUUAAAAUUGUACUGUUGAUACACACACAUGCUAAUACUUUUGUCCUUAGUUUAAUAAGAAGUGAAGUAGAAACUUUCCCCCAAGCCUAUGCACAUUUUUUGACCACACUGUUACCUCUUUAGAAUUGUUUUUGUCUGAAUCAGUUCUUAUUGUGUGUCUGCACUGAUUUUUGAUUGCAUAAGACGGAUUUUAAACCGCCUAUGUAACCUGUCUGUACUGCUCUGCUUAGUGAAUAGUGCUGGUGCAUGAUUGUUGAGUGCUCCCCCUCAGUCCUUUGAAAGUCUAAUCUCAUGGCAGAGGUACCAGGGAGAGUCAUGCUCACCGCCCCAACUCUAGAAAACAGUGGCUUUGUGUUGCCACCAAGUAGCUUGCAGCCCACAACUCACAAACCCCAAUCAAGUGCUCCUUGGCAGGACCUCCGAAAGGAGCCCUCUAUGCUGCCAGCAGGAACUAGGAAGUUGCUUUCUCAAGGAGACAUGCCUUUGUUAGUCAUUAACAAACAGAGUUUACCAGAGAAAU